RNAcentral lists this transfer RNA (84 nucleotides) under Phanerochaete carnosa. Its description in RNAcentral is "tRNA-Leu". It matches the Rfam family "tRNA". From Rfam's summary of the family: Transfer RNA (tRNA) molecules are approximately 80 nucleotides in length. Their secondary structure includes four short double-helical elements and three loops (D, anti-codon, and T loops). The record is from RNAcentral. Lineage: Eukaryota; Fungi; Basidiomycota; Agaricomycetes; Polyporales; Phanerochaetaceae.
ACGAGUGUGCCGAAAAGGUAGCCGGGUGACUCUUAGGCAGUCACGAUUGAAAUAAUCGUAAGAGUUCAAAUCUCUUUGCUCGUA